Molecule: ribosomal RNA, 879 nt
Filed under: Ramularia stellariicola
Lineage: Eukaryota; Fungi; Ascomycota; Dothideomycetes; Mycosphaerellales; Mycosphaerellaceae
Description: eukaryotic LSU rRNA
Rfam family: Eukaryotic large subunit ribosomal RNA
Source: RNAcentral
CUUAAGCAUAUCAAUAAGCGGAGGAAAAGAAACCAACAGGGAUUGCCCUAGUAACGGCGAGUGAAGCGGCAACAGCUCAAAUUUGAAAUCUGGCGCAAGCCCGAGUUGUAAUUUGUAGAGGAUGCUUCUAGGUAGCGACCGGUCUAAGUUCCUUGGAACAGGACGUCAUAGAGGGUGAGAAUCCCGUAUGUGACCGGCCCGCACCUUCCACGUAGCUCCUUCGACGAGUCGAGUUGUUUGGGAAUGCAGCUCUAAAUGGGAGGUAAAUUUCUUCUAAAGCUAAAUACCGGCCAGAGACCGAUAGCGCACAAGUAGAGUGAUCGAAAGAUGAAAAGCACUUUGGAAAGAGAGUUAAAAAGCACGUGAAAUUGUUGAAAGGGAAGCGCUCACAACCAGACUUCUGGGCGGUGUUCCGCCGGUCUUCUGACCGGUCUACUCGCCGUCCCGAGGCCAACAUCAUCUGGGACCGCCGGAUAAGACCUCAGGAAUGUAGCUUCCCUCGGGAAGUGUUAUAGCCUGUGGUGAUGCGGCGCGUCUCGGGUGAGGUCCGCGCUUCGGCAAGGAUGUUGGCGUAAUGGUUGUCAGCGGCCCGUCUUGAAACACGGACCAAGGAGUCUAACAUCUAUGCGAGUGUUCGGGUGUCAAACCCCUACGCGUAAUGAAAGUGAACGGAGGUGGGAAGCGCAAGCUGCACCAUCGACCGAUCCUGAUGUCCUCGGAUGGAUUUGAGUAAGAGCAUAGCUGUUGGGACCCGAAAGAUGGUGAACUAUGCCUGAAUAGGGUGAAGCCAGAGGAAACUCUGGUGGAGGCUCGCAGCGGUUCUGACGUGCAAAUCGAUCGUCAAAUUUGGGUAUAGGGGCGAAAGACUAAUCGAACCAU